Molecule: ribosomal RNA, 507 nt
Filed under: uncultured bacterium
Lineage: Bacteria
Description: bacterial SSU rRNA
Rfam family: Bacterial small subunit ribosomal RNA
Source: RNAcentral
UCAGGAUGAACGCUAGCUACAGGCUUAACACAUGCAAGUCGAGGGCAGCAUGGAACUUAGCUUGCUAAGUUCUGAUGGCGACCGGCGCACGGGUGAGUAACACGUAUCCAACCUACCGUUUACUACGGGAUAGCCUUCUGAAAAGGAGAUUAAUACCGUAUGGCAUUCUAAGGUUUCAUGACAUUAGAAUUAAAGGUUUACCGGUAAUCGAUGGGGAUGCGUUCCAUUAGAUAGUAGGCGGGGUAACGGCCCACCUAGUCAACGAUGGAUAGGGGUUCUGAGAGGAAGGUCCCCCACAUUGGAACUGAGACACGGUCCAAACUCCUACGGGAGGCAGCAGUGAGGAAUAUUGGUCAAUGGACGAGAGUCUGAACCAGCCAAGUAGCCGUGAAGGAUGACUGCCCUAUGGGUUGUAAACUUCCUUUAUAAAGGAAUAAAGUGGUCCACGUGUGGAUUUUUGUAUGUACUUUAUGAAUAAGGAUCGGCUAACUCCGUGCCAGCCGCCGC